GCCUGUGCCCUGUCCCCAGAGGACAUUGUGACAUGUUGUUUGGCUUAACAUCUAGACUCUGCCAAGAGAGGGGAUUAUUACAUAUUGCAGAGCCCAGCACCUAGGUGGAGUGACUCUCAUCUUUUUCUUCUACCCCGUAUAUAGCCAGCUUGGUGACCUACUAUUUGAGUCUAUACCCAGGCCCAGACCACAGAUGAAAUUGUGCAAUAUGUGGAACAAACACCUAAACAAUAUAUAACACCUUCCUUGGCUCUGUCUACAAAGGGCACUUUUAUAUAUCACUGGGACCAUCAACCAGGUGAUGUUAAUUAUCUUCCUGAAACCUGUCUACAAAGAGAGUUGUGUCGUAUACCUAGGCCCGUCAUGUGAUGUUGUGCCAUAUAACUGAGACCGUAUCAAAAGCCUAAUAACAAGACGUAUGUCUGGAGCCCCGAUAUGCACAGGAUGGUGAUAUAACCCUCUUCUCUGGAAUGGGCCCCACACAAAGGAAGGAUAGUGACAUAUUGCAAGCCCAGGCACACAGGCCCAGAGCACAGUUGAAAUUGUGACAUAUGUACACCAAGCAACCAAGCAAUGUAUAACACCUCAUUUGGCAAUGGAAUCGAGGGCACUUUUACAUAUCACUGAGACCAGCGCCCAGCUGAUGUGAAAUAUUGGCCUGAACCCUGCCUACAAAAGCAUUGUGGCUUUUAUCUAGCUCCAUUACAUAAGUGAUGUGACUUCCUUCUACUGCCUUGGCCCUGCACUUAUGGUGAAUCGUGACACAAAAUUGGGUAGAGCAACCAGCCUGGGCCCUGACCAGCACAGAGAUUGAGGCAUAUUGCUGAACCCAGGACCAAGAUGAAGUCACUCUCCUGCCUUGAUCCUGCACACAGGGACCCUUGUGACAUAUAUACAGGCCAAUUGCCUAGGUGAUGUUGUGCAAUAUACCUGAGACCAGAUCAAUGGCCUAAUAAUGACUCUUUUACCUAGAGCCAGGACAUGUGCAGGAUGGUAACUCUCAUCCCUGAACCUUUCCACAGGUGUUAUUGUCACAUAUACCUUUUCCAGCUCCAAAGUGAUUUAAUAAUCCAGCCUAGUUAUAGCCCACAGAUAAUAUUUGGACAUAUACCU
Homo sapiens (human) is the source of this 1113-nucleotide long non-coding RNA. Ensembl annotates it as long intergenic non-protein coding RNA 293. The record is from Ensembl. Lineage: Eukaryota; Metazoa; Chordata; Mammalia; Primates; Hominidae.